RNAcentral lists this ribosomal RNA (2488 nucleotides) under Chaetothyriales sp. Trii4. Its description in RNAcentral is "partial 18S ribosomal RNA". It matches the Rfam family "Eukaryotic small subunit ribosomal RNA". Lineage: Eukaryota; Fungi; Ascomycota; Eurotiomycetes; Chaetothyriales. The record is from RNAcentral.
AUAGGCCAUGCAUGUCUAGUAUAAGCACUUAUACCGUGAAACUGCGAAUGGCUCAUUAAAUCAGUAAUAGUUUAUUUGAUAGUACCUUUACCUGGAUAACUGUGGUAAUUCUAGAGCUAAUACAUGCUAAAAACCUCGACUUCGGAAGGGGUGUAUUUAUUAGAUAAAAAACCAAUGCCCUUCGGGGCUCCUUGGUGAUUCAUAAUAACUUAACGAAUCGCAUGGCCUUGCGCCGGCGAUGGUUCAUUCAAAUUUCUGCCCUAUCAACUUUCGAUGGUAAGGUAGUGGCUUACCAUGGUCUCAACGGGUAACGGGGAAUUAGGGUUCUAUUCCGGAGAGGGAGCCUGAGAAACGUAAGUUCUUACUCUUUACCCCUUUUCGUCAUUCAUUCCCCCUGGGAAUUCUUAAAUUUUUACUAAUUCUUUUUUUAGGGCUACCACAUCCAAGGAAGGCAGCAGGCGCGCAAAUUACCCAAUCCCGAUACGGGGAGGUAGUGACAAUAAAUACUGAUACGGGGCUCUUUCGGGUCUCGUAAUUGGAAUGAGUACAAUCUAAAUCCCUUAACGAGGAACAAUUGGAGGGCAAGUCUGGUGCCAGCAGCCGCGGUAAUUCCAGCUCCAAUAGCGUAUAUUAAAGUUGUUGCCGUUAAAAAGCUCGUAGUUGAACCUUGGACCUGGCUGAUCUGUCCUCCUAAUCGAGCGUACGGAUUCGGUCGGGUCUUUUCUUCUGGGGAGCCUUAUGCCCUUUACUGGGUGUAAUGGGGAACCAGGACUUUUACCUUGAAAAAUUAGAGUGUUCAAAGCAGGCCUUUGCUCGAAUACAUUAGCAUGGAAUAAUAGAAUAGGACAUCGGUUCUAUUUUGUUGGUUUCUAGGACCGCUGUAAUGAUUAAUAGGGAUAGUCGGGGGCGUCCGUAUUCAAUUGUCAGAGGUGAAAUUCUUGGAUUUAUUGAAGACNNNNNNNNNNNNNNNNNNNNNNNNNNNNNNNNNNNNNNNNNNNNNNNNNNGGUCGCAGGCUGAACUUAAAGAAAUUGACGGAAGGGCACCACAAGGCGUGGAGCCUGCGGCUUAAUUUGACUCAACACGGGGAAACUCACCAGGUUAACAUCAUUGUCUGGGCCUGGAAUAGUAUUUGCUACAUAAGUGGCAAUAGCUAGUACACCGUUCCUUUGCUGCAUGGAGAAGCCUCCAUAUUUCGGGUGCAGGGCAGCAGGCUUUCAGUAGUCCUGUUGUUGAACGGGUGCGACACCAGCUGGUACAGGGAACGCCUUCUUUCGUGAUCAACUUGAUUAUGACUUUGGCCGAUCCUGUGGCGAGCCAGGGCUGCGCCUGGCCGUCGCAACGCGCGCUAAGCGGUGGGCAGAUUUAAGUCUGCUUAAGGUACGUGCUGACCCACGGGAUGAUAAACCGUGCUAUGGAGUUGAGGGCCGAAAACAACCAAAGCUCCAUAGGCGUGCAGUGCAUUCUAUUGCCUGUACGUGGGUUUGCGAUUAAAUUCGCAGGCGAAUUCGCCAGACAUGCUUAGGAUUGACAGAUUGAUAGCUCUUUCUUGAUUGUAUGGGUGGUGGUGCAUGGCCGUUCUUAGUUGGUGGAGUGAUUUGUCUGCUUAAUUGCGAUAACGAACGAGACCUUGACCUGCUAAAUAGCCCGAUUGACUUUUGUCGGUCGCCGGCUUCUUAGAGGGACUUUUGGCUCAAGCCAAUGGAAGUACGAGGCAAUAACAGGUUAACCUUAUGGGUUACGUGCAAACCAUAUCACAGGCCUGAGGAGGGGUCUCGUACAUUGAUUCCAUAGGGGUUUGAUUGGUUCCCCGUUAUCAAAAACUACCUUCUAGUUGAUCCUCAAUCCUCCUGGUAGAAGCCUAUCGUAGUCGGGGGAGGGCACCGAAAGGUGUAUGAGGCAGCGAGACAACCUGGUUCAUGGAACGGCCACUGGCCCGAUCAUGAUGCGAGCAGGAGUAGCGUCCUGCCGCGGCAACGCGUGCAAAGGUGUCGGUUCCGUCUUAAGACGGGGCUUAAGGUACAUGCUAAUCCCCUAGGCAACUAGGGGCUGCUACGAUGAGACCCGACAGUCAAAGCGUAGCAGGCGUCUUCUCUUGGAGGCGUGCACGAUAUUAUGCUGUGAUGCCCUUAGAUGUUCUGGGCUGCACGCGCGCUACACUGACAGAGCCAGCGAGUACAUCACCUUGGCCGAAAGGUCUGGGUAAUCUUGUUAAACUCUGUCGUGCUGGGGAUAGAGCAUUGCAAUUAUUGCUCUUCAACGAGGAAUGCCUAGUAAGCGCAAGUCAUCAGCUUGCGUUGAUUACGUCCCUGCCCUUUGUACACACCGCCCGUCGCUACUACCGAUUGAAUGGCUCAGUGAGGCCUUGGGACUGGCUCAGAAAGGUCGGCAACGACCAUUCAGAGCCGGAAACUUGGUCAAACUUGGUCAUUUAGAGGAAGUAAAAGUCGUAACAAGGUUUCCGUAGGUGAACCUGCGGAAGGAUCAUUA